RNAcentral lists this ribosomal RNA (463 nucleotides) under uncultured soil bacterium. Its description in RNAcentral is "bacterial SSU rRNA". It matches the Rfam family "Bacterial small subunit ribosomal RNA", at positions 26 to 518 of the family's 1533-position model. The record is from RNAcentral.
AAGCCUGAACGCUGGCGGCGUGGCUAAGACAUGCAAGUCGUACGGUGUAGCAAUACACAGUGGCGAACGGGUGAGUAAUGAAUCGCUAAUGUGCCCCGGACUCUGGGAUAGCUGACCGAAAGGUCAGGUAAUACCAGAUGACAUAACCUUUCCGCAUGGUGAGGUUCUCAAAGGUCCGCCGGUCUGGGAGCAGGCGAUUUUGUAUCAGCUAGUUGGUGAGGUAACGGCUCACCAAGGCGACGACGCAUAGCCGGACUGAGAGGUUGGCCGGCCACAUUGGGACUGAGACACUGCCCAGACUCCUACGGGGGGCUGCAGUAACGAAUCUUCCGCAAUGCACGAAAGUGUGACGGAGCGACGCCGCGUGUGGGACGAAGUUCUUCGGAAUGUAAACCACUGUCAGGGUAAGAAAGUUCUGAUCUACCCCAGAGGAAGGCACGGCUAACUCUGUGCCAGCAGCCGC